UACGAAGGGUGCUAGCGUUGUUCGGAAUAACUGGGCGUAAAGAGCUCGUAGGCGGAUUUGCAAGUCAGGGGUGAAAUCCCGGGGCUUAACCUCGGAACUGCCUUUGAAACUGCAAAUCUGGAAUCUCAGAGGGGAUAGCGGAAUUCCUAAUGUAGGGGUGAAAUCCGUAGAUAUUAGGAGGAACACCGGUGGCGAAGGCGGCUAUCUGGAUGAGUAUUGACGCUGAGGAGCGAAAGCGUGGGGAUCAAACAGG
RNAcentral lists this ribosomal RNA (253 nucleotides) under uncultured bacterium. Its description in RNAcentral is "partial 16S ribosomal RNA". It matches the Rfam family "Bacterial small subunit ribosomal RNA", at positions 524 to 776 of the family's 1533-position model. The record is from RNAcentral.